This 404-nucleotide ribosomal RNA is filed under the name uncultured bacterium. RNAcentral's name for it is "bacterial SSU rRNA". It matches the Rfam family "Bacterial small subunit ribosomal RNA", at positions 359 to 775 of the family's 1533-position model. The record is from RNAcentral.
GAAUAUUGCACAAUGGGCGAAAGCCUGAUGCAGCGACGCCGCGUGAGGGAUGACGGCCUUCGGGUUGUAAACCUCUUUCAGCAGGGAAGAAGCGCAAGUGACGGUACCUGCAGAAGAAGCACCGGCUAACUACGUGCCAGCAGCCGCGGUAAUACGUAGGGUGCGAGCGUUGUCCGGAAUUAUUGGGCGUAAAGAGCUCGUAGGCGGUCUGUCGCGUCUGCUGUGAAAACCCGGGGCUCAACUCCGGGCUUGCAGUGGAUACGGGCAGACUAGAGUUCGGUAGGGGAGACUGGAAUUCCUGGUGUAGCGGUGAAAUGCGCAGAUAUCAGGAGGAACACCGGUGGCGAAGGCGGGUCUCUGGGCCGAUACUGACGCUGAGGAGCGAAAGCGUGGGGAGCGAACAG